AUUGAACGCUGGCGGCAGGCCUAACACAUGCAAGUCGAGCGGAUGAAGGGAGCUUGCUCCUGGAUUCAGCGGCGGACGGGUGAGUAAUGCCUAGGAAUCUGCCUGGUAGUGGGGGAUAACGUCCGGAAACGGGCGCUAAUACCGCAUACGUCCUGAGGGAGAAAGUGGGGGAUCUUCGGACCUCACGCUAUCAGAUAAGCCUAGGUCGGAUUAGCUAGUUGGUGGGGUAAAGGCCCACCAAGGCGACGAUCCGUAACUGGUCUGAGAGGAUGAUCAGUCACACUGGAACUGAGACACGGUCCAGACUCCUACGGGAGGCAGCAGUGGGGAAUAUUGGACAAUGGGCGAAAGCCUGAUCCAGCCAUGCCGCGUGUGUGAAGAAGGUCUUCGGAUUGUAAAGCACUUUAAGUUGGGAGGAAGGGCAGUAAGUUAAUACCUUGCUGUUUUGACGUUACCAACAGAAUAAGCACCGGCUAACUUCGUG
Molecule: ribosomal RNA, 484 nt
Filed under: uncultured bacterium
Lineage: Bacteria
Description: partial 16S ribosomal RNA
Rfam family: Bacterial small subunit ribosomal RNA
Source: RNAcentral